AAUCUAUGACAGGGGCAUAACCUAAGCAUUUCCUUAAAUUUCUCCCAUGACUCGUAGAGCGAUUCCAUGUCCUUCUCGGUAAAACUGGUAAUUUGAUUUUUAUACU
Lathyrus oleraceus (garden pea) is the source of this 106-nucleotide small nucleolar RNA. NCBI's taxonomy places the organism in Eukaryota, Viridiplantae, Streptophyta, Magnoliopsida, Fabales, Fabaceae. The record is from RefSeq and is a predicted model, not a curated record.